Molecule: regulatory RNA element, 108 nt
Organism: Ruminococcus sp. CAG:254
Lineage: Bacteria; Bacillati; Bacillota; Clostridia; Eubacteriales; Oscillospiraceae
Rfam family: SAM riboswitch aptamer (S box leader)
About the family: The SAM riboswitch is found upstream of a number of genes which code for proteins involved in methionine or cysteine biosynthesis in Gram-positive bacteria. The SAM riboswitch acts at the level of transcription termination control.
Source: Rfam
ACCUUAUCGAGAGUGGCGGAGGAACAGGUCCUGUGAAGCCCGGCAACCUAAUUGCAGCAAUGUGAAAAAGGUGCCAAUUCCUGCGGUUUAAGUACCGAGAGAUGAGGA